RNAcentral lists this ribosomal RNA (1240 nucleotides) under Salmonella enterica. Its description in RNAcentral is "partial 23S ribosomal RNA". It matches the Rfam family "Bacterial large subunit ribosomal RNA", at positions 1200 to 2421 of the family's 2925-position model. RNAcentral also lists the same sequence under 1 other name. The record is from RNAcentral. Lineage: Bacteria; Pseudomonadati; Pseudomonadota; Gammaproteobacteria; Enterobacterales; Enterobacteriaceae.
CUGCGGCAGCGACACUUAUGCGUUGUUGGGUAGGGGAGCGUUCUGUAAGCCUGCGAAGGUGGCCUGUGAGGGUUGCUGGAGGUAUCAGAAGUGCGAAUGCUGACAUAAGUAACGAUAAAGCGGGUGAAAAGCCCGCUCGCCGGAAGACCAAGGGUUCCUGUCCAACGUUAAUCGGGGCAGGGUGAGUCGACCCCUAAGGCGAGGCCGAAAGGCGUAGUCGAUGGGAAACGGGUUAAUAUUCCCGUACUUGGUGUUACUGCGAAGGGGGGACGGAGAAGGCUAUGUUGGCCGGGCGACGGUUGUCCCGGUUUAAGCGUGUAGGUGUGUGUUCCAGGUAAAUCCGGUUCACUUUAACACUGAGGCGUGACGACGAGGCACUACGGUGCUGAAGCAACAAAUGCCCUGCUUCCAGGAAAAGCCUCUAAGCAUCAGGUAACAUCAAAUCGUACCCCAAACCGACACAGGUGGUCAGGUAGAGAAUACCAAGGCGCUUGAGAGAACUCGGGUGAAGGAACUAGGCAAAAUGGUGCCGUAACUUCGGGAGAAGGCACGCUGACACGUAGGUGAAGUGAUUUACUCAUGGAGCUGAAGUCAGUCGAAGAUACCAGCUGGCUGCAACUGUUUAUUAAAAACACAGCACUGUGCAAACACGAAAGUGGACGUAUACGGUGUGACGCCUGCCCGGUGCCGGAAGGUUAAUUGAUGGGGUCAGCGCAAGCGAAGCUCCUGAUCGAAGCCCCGGUAAACGGCGGCCGUAACUAUAACGGUCCUAAGGUAGCGAAAUUCCUUGUCGGGUAAGUUCCGACCUGCACGAAUGGCGUAAUGAUGGCCAGGCUGUCUCCACCCGAGACUCAGUGAAAUUGAACUCGCUGUGAAGAUGCAGUGUACCCGCGGCAAGACGGAAAGACCCCGUGAACCUUUACUAUAGCUUGACACUGAACAUUGAGCCUUGAUGUGUAGGAUAGGUGGGAGGCUUUGAAGUGUGGACGCCAGUCUGCAUGGAGCCGACCUUGAAAUACCACCCUUUAAUGUUUGAUGUUCUAACGUGGACCCGUUACCCGGGUUGCGGACAGUGUCUGGUGGGUAGUUUGACUGGGGCGGUCUCCUCCUAAAGAGUAACGGAGGAGCACGAAGGUUGGCUAAUCCUGGUCGGACAUCAGGAGGUUAGUGCAAUGGCAUAAGCCAGCUUGACUGCGAGCGUGACGGCGCGAGCAGGUGCGAAAGCAGGUCAUAGUGAUCC